GAGUUUGAUCGUGGCUCAGGAUGAACGCUGGCGGCGUGCCUAAUACAUGCAAGUCGAGCGAACGGACGAGAAGCUUGCUUCUCUGAUGUUAGCGGCGGACGGGUGAGUAACACGUGGAUAACCUACCUAUAAGACUGGGAUAACUUCGGGAAACCGGAGCUAAUACCGGAUAAUAUUUUGAACCGCAUGGUUCAAAAGUAAAAGACGGUCUUGCUGUCACUUAUAGAUGGAUCCGCGCUGCAUUAGCUAGUUGUAAGGUAACGGCUUACCAAGGCAACGAUGCAUAGCCGACCUGAGAGGGUGAUCGGCCACACUGGAACUGAGACACGGUCCAGACUCCUACGGGAGGCAGCAGUAGGGAAUCUUCCGCAAUGGGCGAAAGCCUGACGGAGCAACGCCGCGUGAGUGAUGAAGGUCUUCGGAUCGUAAAAACUCUGUUAUUAGGGAAGAACAUAUGUGUAAGUAACUGUGCACAUCUUGACGGUACCUAAUCAGAAAG
This 499-nucleotide ribosomal RNA is filed under the name uncultured microorganism. Its description in RNAcentral is "bacterial SSU rRNA". It matches the Rfam family "Bacterial small subunit ribosomal RNA", at positions 9 to 490 of the family's 1533-position model. The record is from RNAcentral.